RNAcentral lists this ribosomal RNA (434 nucleotides) under uncultured Faecalibacterium sp. RNAcentral's name for it is "partial 16S ribosomal RNA". It matches the Rfam family "Bacterial small subunit ribosomal RNA", at positions 341 to 792 of the family's 1533-position model. The record is from RNAcentral. Lineage: Bacteria; Bacillati; Bacillota; Clostridia; Eubacteriales; Oscillospiraceae.
ACGGAAGGCAGCAGUGGGGAAUAUUGCACAAUGGGGGAAACCCUGAUGCAGCGACGCCGCGUGGAGGAAGAAGGUCUUCGGGUUGUAAACUCCUGUUGUUAGGGACGAUAAUGACGGUACCUAACAAGGAAGUGACGGCUAACUACGUGCCAGCAGCCGCGGUAAAACGUAGGUCACAAGCGCUGUCCGGAAUUACUGGGUGUAAAGGGAGCGCAGGCGGGAGAGCAAGUUGGAAGUGAGAUCUAUGGGCUCAACUCAUAAAUUGCUUUCGAAACUGCUUUUCUUGAGUAGUGCAGAGGUAGGCGGAAUUCCCGGUGUAGCGGUGGAAUGCGUAGAUAUCGGGAGGAACACCAGUGGCGAAGGCGGCCUACUGGGCACCAACUGACGCUGAGGCUCGAAAGUGUGGGUAGCAAACAGGAUUAGAUACCCUGGUA